Camelina sativa (false flax) is the source of this 425-nucleotide long non-coding RNA. RefSeq lists it as uncharacterized. The record is from RefSeq and is a predicted model, not a curated record. NCBI's taxonomy places the organism in Eukaryota, Viridiplantae, Streptophyta, Magnoliopsida, Brassicales, Brassicaceae.
AUAAAUUACAAUCAGAUAAGUACUUUGUACAUUGCUAAUUUCUUCCCCCUCAUCCCCAAAUAUAAUUGAUUUUGCCUAUUGAAAUGCUAACUGCCUGCUAUAUUCUUGUAGGUGACCUGUUUGACAUCACGUAGUUACAUAAAAUAUAUUCUGGGAAGAUUCAUCAUGAUUGACACAACUCAUUUCUACCUUAGUUUUCAAAGGUAAUGAAGGACACGGACUUGCACUUUCCAUGAAGUCUUGAAAGGCUUGACAUCUCGGAGGAAAGCGUAGGAAGCAGCCAUUUUAAGAAAUUGAAGCUAGUGGAGUCGAAGCCCUAUAAAUUAUAAACCGAGUUAUUUGUAAAGGAUGCAGAUCCUUUUUAUAAAUGGGUCGGGUAAUUUUGAUUGCUGAUUUUUGACAAAAUUACCCCUUCCAAUUUUAAG